AUUGAACGCUGGCGGCAGGCCUAACACAUGCCAGUCGAGCGGAUGAAGGGAGCUUGCUCCUGGAUUCAGCGGCGGACGGGUGAGUAAUGCCUAGGAAUCUGCCUGGUAGUGGGGGAUAACGUCCGGAAACGGGCGCUAAUACCGCAUACGUCCUGAGGGAGAAAGUGGGGGAUCUUCGGACCUCACGCUAUCAGAUGAGCCUAGGUCGGAUUAGCUAGUUGGUGGGGUAAAGGCCUACCAAGGCGUCGAUCCGUAACUGGUCUGAGAGGAUGAUCAGUCACACUGGAACUGAGACACGGUCCAGACUCCUACGGGAGGCAGCAGUGGGGAAUAUUGGACAAUGGGCGAAAGCCUGAUCCAGCCAUGCCGCGUGUGUGAAGAAGGUCUUCGGAUUGUAAAGCACUUUAAGUUGGGAGGAAGGGCAGUAAGUUAAUACCUUGCUGUUUUGACGUUACCAACAGAAUAAGCACCGGCUAACUUCGUG
This 484-nucleotide ribosomal RNA is filed under the name uncultured bacterium. Its description in RNAcentral is "partial 16S ribosomal RNA". It matches the Rfam family "Bacterial small subunit ribosomal RNA", at positions 30 to 507 of the family's 1533-position model. The record is from RNAcentral.